CAAACACACCGGGAAACACUUGCGUCAUGUGAUUCAGUGCACCCAAUCAGGAUUUCACUUCUCGAUCACAUGACGCCUAAGAUCCAAUAGAUAACAGGAAGACGCUGCACAAACACACGUGGGGGAAACACUUGCUGCACAGGCACCCGCUACCAUUGUAAUGACUGGGAGGACUGCCAAGGAGCAUUUCAUGUAUAUAUAUAUCGAAGUGAACUGGAAUCUCGAAUGCACCAUAAGUGAUGACACCGAAAUAAAGAAAUACCCUGUCUAACCAAGAAGACUUUCCCACACGGCCAGACAACAACUUCCUUACGUGGCGUUGGCCAGCUGUAUCACAAUAUCCACCCUGUUGCUUUGCGUCCAAACGUUUUCUGGAAACAUCGUCCAAUUUGAAAGCGACACCGUUAGCUUUUGGAUGCUAGCGUUGGCUGACUGAUGACAACCUGUUUACAACACGUUCAAUCAUUGGGGUGAAAAGGUUUGCAGUCAGUUCAUACUGAAAGAAGACUAGGUAGGACAGCUCUGACAGGGAAGUGCACUCAUCCAUUUUCUACCGCUCAUCGUGUUCGGGGUCACAAGGAAGAAAGCUGGAGUCUAUCCCAGAUGGGAUUACACCACGCGCUGACGGUCAGUCCAUCACAGGAAACAUCUAGUAUCUGACAAGACCUCCCAGAGGACGUCGGUCAACGUUUGUCAGCAAACGCCCUCAUCAGGACGAAACUUGGCAUAACCCAAUCGUCCACCGCAAGGAAAUGUCGACGUGGUUUCUGAUCAAAACAAGUCACACGGUGUUGAGAGGGUUGGAAGAAGAGGAAGUGCGUCGCUAUCGGGACUUGAGGGUGAAAACUGUGACCAAAGACUAACAGCGUCGGCCAUUUUUCAUCUGUUUGCCUUGAAGUGAACUUGUCAAGGUCUUUCCCCGCUCCUUGUUUUUGACGCUGUAGUAGUUAUUUCUCCAGAUGUACCCACAAGACACCGGCAGAGGAAGCACACCAGCCCGACUUUGAAAUGGCGAGGAAACCUGCGUGGGCGCAACAAUUUAUUUAGCGUCUUGUUCGCCGAUGGUGUCGGCAGCUUCAUUUACUCACAAGAGACGUCUUAAAUGUGGCAUGGGAAGGGGAAAAGCUCACUGUGGUUUCAUGUGGCGAGACGUUCAAGUGCGGCGCAGAACUUUUGACGAGUUGUGUUCACUGCCACUUCCUGUCAGCGUCGUGUUAUUUUCUUGUAUUAAAAUGCCCUUAAUAACUUACCAUUCAUUUAUACUCAUAAGUAAACAAGGUUUUGGACCAAUACAGUGAAGAAUUAA
This is a non-coding RNA of Doryrhamphus excisus (bluestripe pipefish), 1306 nucleotides long. The record is from RefSeq and is a predicted model, not a curated record. Lineage: Eukaryota; Metazoa; Chordata; Actinopteri; Syngnathiformes; Syngnathidae.